This 273-nucleotide long non-coding RNA is filed under the name Elaeis guineensis (African oil palm). RNAcentral's name for it is "long non-coding RNA (EGUI_LNC031497)". The record is from RNAcentral. Lineage: Eukaryota; Viridiplantae; Streptophyta; Magnoliopsida; Arecales; Arecaceae.
GCAUAUUUCUCUGCCCGAGCUUGCAUUUUUGAAAAAUCUUGGGGAAAGGUCUUCAACAACAAUUUUUUGAAGUUGCCCAUCAACAAUCCACCCUUCAGGGUGGACAUUACGAUCGAGUGAUCUAGGUCGCAAUCUUUCAAUAUAGCUCUGUUGAAUCGAGCUAUGUAAGAUCGAAUGGACUCGCCCUCCUUCUGUUUGAUGGUCUGGAGGUAGUCUGGGUGUUUAUAUUAUCACCAGCUGGUGAUGAAGUGGGCAGCAAAGAUUUGACUCAGC